AGCUCCAAUAGCGUAUAUUUAAGUUGUUGCAGUUAAAAAGCUCGUAGUUGGAUUUCGGAUGUGAACGACCGGUCCGCCGUUGCGGUGUGCACUGGACGUUUGUAUCUUGUUGUCGGGGACGCGCUCCUGGCCUUAACUGGUCGGGACGCGGAGUCGGCGCUGUUACUUUGAAAAAAUUAGAGUGUUCAAAGCAGGCAACCGCUCUGAAUACAUUAGCAUGGAAUAACGCUAUAGGACUCUGGUCCUAUUGUGUUGGUCUUCGGGACCGGAGUAAUGAUUAAGAGGGACAGUUGGGGGCAUUCGUAUUUCAUUGUCAGAGGUGAAAUUCUUGGAUUUAUGAAAGACGAACUUCUGCGAAAGCAUUUGCCAAGGAUGUUUUCAUUA
Molecule: ribosomal RNA, 384 nt
Filed under: uncultured eukaryote
Lineage: Eukaryota
Description: SSU rRNA
Rfam family: Eukaryotic small subunit ribosomal RNA
Source: RNAcentral